Molecule: transfer RNA, 76 nt
Filed under: Lactobacillus delbrueckii subsp. jakobsenii ZN7a-9 = DSM 26046
Lineage: Bacteria; Bacillati; Bacillota; Bacilli; Lactobacillales; Lactobacillaceae
Description: tRNA-Lys
Rfam family: tRNA
About the family: Transfer RNA (tRNA) molecules are approximately 80 nucleotides in length. Their secondary structure includes four short double-helical elements and three loops (D, anti-codon, and T loops).
Source: RNAcentral
GGGUUGUUAGCUCAGCUGGCAGAGCACCGGACUCUUAAUCCGGGUGUCCAGGGUUCGAUCCCCUGACGACCCAUCA